GCGGGUGUGGCGGAAUGGCAGACGCACAGGACUUAAAAUCCUGAGAGGGCAACUUCGUGUGGGUUCAAGUCCCACCACCCGCACCA
RNAcentral lists this transfer RNA (86 nucleotides) under Candidatus Caccopulliclostridium gallistercoris. RNAcentral's name for it is "tRNA-Leu". It matches the Rfam family "tRNA". From Rfam's summary of the family: Transfer RNA (tRNA) molecules are approximately 80 nucleotides in length. Their secondary structure includes four short double-helical elements and three loops (D, anti-codon, and T loops). Lineage: Bacteria; Bacillati; Bacillota; Clostridia. The record is from RNAcentral.